Molecule: ribosomal RNA, 398 nt
Filed under: uncultured bacterium
Lineage: Bacteria
Description: partial 16S ribosomal RNA
Rfam family: Bacterial small subunit ribosomal RNA
Source: RNAcentral
AAUCUUGCGCAAUGGGCGAAAGCCUGACGCAGCAACGCCGCGUGAACGAUGAAGGNCUNNGGGUCNUNAAGUUCUGUCAGGGGNNNNNAAUAAAUGACGGUACCCCCGGAGGCAGCCCCGGCUAACUACGUGCCAGCAGCCGCGGUAAUACGUAGGGGGCGAGCGUUGUCCGGAAUUACUGGGCGUAAAGGGCGUGUAGGCGGCCGAUCAAGUCAGGUGUGAAAUUCCAGGGCUCAACCCUGGACGUGCACUUGAAACUGGUAGGCUUGAGUGCAGGAGAGGAAAGUGGAAUUCCCAGUGUAGCGGUGAAAUGCGUAGAUAUUGGGAGGAACACCAGUGGCGAAGGCGACUUUCUGGCCUGUAACUGACGCUGAGGCGCGAAAGCUAGGGGAGCAAAC